AUACGGAGGGUGCGAGCGUUAAUCGGAAUUACUGGGCGUAAAGAGUACGUAGGCGGUUGCUUAAGUCAGAUGUGAAAGCCCCGGGCUCAACCUGGGAACUGCAUUUGAAACUGAGUGACUAGAGUUUAAGAGAGGGGAGUAGAAUUCCGGGUGUAGCGGUGAAAUGCGUAGAGAUCCGGAGGAAUACCAGUGGCGAAGGCGGCUCCCUGGCUUAAAACUGACGCUGAGGUACGAAAGCGUGGGUAGCAAACAGGAUUAGAUACCCUAGUAGUCC
RNAcentral lists this ribosomal RNA (274 nucleotides) under uncultured bacterium. RNAcentral describes it as "partial 16S ribosomal RNA". It matches the Rfam family "Bacterial small subunit ribosomal RNA", at positions 523 to 796 of the family's 1533-position model. The record is from RNAcentral.